Molecule: long non-coding RNA, 548 nt
Filed under: Mytilus galloprovincialis (Mediterranean mussel)
Lineage: Eukaryota; Metazoa; Mollusca; Bivalvia; Mytilida; Mytilidae
Source: RNAcentral
GUACAGCGUAAGGCAGCCAGGUUUGUCUUCAAUGAUUAUAAAGACAGAUCACCUGGAGCAGUUACAAAUUUAAUAAAAUCAUUGGAAUGGGAAAAUUUAGAAUUAAGAAGGAAAAAGGCUAGAUUAACUAUGCUGUAUAAAAUAAAUUGGGGGUUAGUAGAAGUUCCUAAGGACAACUUAACAAUUUCUGAUAGACGCACUAGGGGGAAACAUAAAUUUAGGCAAAUAUCCACAAAUAAAGAUUUCUAUAAAUUUUCAUUUUAUCCUCGCAUUAUUUCGGACUGGAACUCACUACCUGAAGCAAUAGGUAUGUCUGACACCCUGGAAUCCUUCAAAAGUGGCAUAUCCACUCUAACACUUGAAGGAUCCACAGCAACUUAUUAAACUUUAAAGCCACUGUACAUAAUGUAUAUAUGUUAUUGAUAACGAUUUUUCUUUGUCAUAUUAUUUUUAAAUUAAGUCCAUAUGUACAUAGCACACAAGUUCCGGGAAGUUUUACACUCCUACCUAGGAGUCUACUCCCGUAUUCGGAAGAAGAAGAAGAAGAA